Molecule: long non-coding RNA, 1269 nt
Organism: Homo sapiens (human)
Lineage: Eukaryota; Metazoa; Chordata; Mammalia; Primates; Hominidae
Source: Ensembl
AGGCCUCCUCACUCUCUCCCUGGCCUGGGAGUCGGGGUCUCAGAGAAACACCUAGCCAAGGCCAGUGUUUCUGCAGGGGUGGGUCAACUGUACAGGGGGCCUGCAACAGCAAAUCACCAGCUUUCUCUGAAACACACACACCCCUCUGCCUGCCUGUUCCUGAUUUAAUCAUCAGAGUGUGCUGCCCGGGACCAACCUGAGGGGUCGAAUGUCAUCACAGCUCUGACCCGCCCUUGUUAUAGGCAGCACGCCCGUCUUCUUCCAGUGACACCAUUUGCAUCCCAAGAACAGGACUACUCUCUGGACUUCUGCCCUCUUUUGUGCCAUGUGGAGUGCUCCUCAGUAAUACUGGGUGACUCACUUGAGUGACCUUUAUGCCCUUUAAUGUGUCUGAUAUUUCCCUGCUCAGAGUCGCAUUCUGUGACUGGCCAGGCCAGCUCUUGGAAUUGUUAACGAUGACAUUUUUUCCUGUUUCAUCAAUGCACCAAGCGUCUUCUUAUUUCUGGAUGGGUUCCAUUCCUCAUGCUCAAAUCCCUUCUGUGAGGCUUUCACAGGGCUGGAUCAUUUCCAUCCAUUGGUCUUACUUGGUUCUGGUGUUGAACUUUCUCACAGGCACCUUCCAUGACUGCCUGUGUCACUUGAGGGCAGUAAUAGAAAAAUCAACUCAAACUGGCUUAAAUAGGAUGCAAAUCUAGUGGCUCACAUAUGUGGCAGCAGAGGCAGUGAGAGUUUCAGGACCAGGCAGCUUGAUUACAGCAUCAAGGGCCCCUGUGUUCUCUGUUUUCUGCAGCCAUAGUGUUGGCUUCUUCCCAAGACUUAUUUUUCCCAUCAGUGUCACCUGUGCUACAAGCUCCUUCAGUCACAUCUAUUUUUGAUAUUUGUGGGUACCUAGGAGGUGCAUAUAUUUGUGGGAUACAUGAGAUACUCUGACACAGAUGUGCAGUGUGCACGGAUCACAGGGAAAUGGGGCAGCCAUCCAUCCCUUCAAGCAUUCAUGAUUUCUUUGUGUUGUGAACAUUCCCGUUGUGCUCUCUUAGUUAUUCUGAAUGUACAAGAAAUUAUUGCUGACUAUAGUCACCCUGUCGUGCUAUCAAAUACUAGACCUCAUUCGUGGUAUCUAACUAUAUUUUGUACCCAUUAACCAUCCCCAUCUCCCACCCCCUACCUUUCCCACUAUCCAUCCCAGCCUCUGGUAACCAUCCUUCGUCUAUCUCCACGAGUUCAAUUGAAUUAAUUUUUAGCUCCCACAAAUUAUAUAGAAUAUGUGAA